UUUUGAUUCAGUUUGAUGACUUUAGUCGGUAUAGAAUUCAUAGAACCAAUCAGCUUGGUUUUAACUGUCCACUUAAUUCCUUAAAGUGAAACACCAUUUGAGAAGAUUUUUUUCAUUUUUUGAUGUUUUCUCUCAAAAUGAUGCACCACUGGAUGGAGAUAGUUUUACUGGAGUUAAAAUACAUCUACGUGAUGAGUGAACAGAAAAGAAACAACGAAGUUACAUUCUUAUUGGUGAGCAUUGAGAUGUUAGAUAAAUUGAGACAACAGAUGUGAAUACCGGUUAGGAAUUGCCUCCAAAUUGAAGGUACAUGCGUUUAUGUUCACAUCUACCGCUAUUCACCUAAAGCAUAUGGAAGUUGGAAUCAAAACCGAUUCAAUGGUGUCAUGGACCAUGGGGCAAAUUUUUUUUUAAUUUCCAAACUAUUUUUUUUUUUAAAGUCUGAUAGAUAUAUGUUUUUUUUUUAAAUACCAGAAGUAGUUUUUAAAAUAAAUCUAUAGAAAUAAAAAAAUAUUUUCAUAUAAUAAAUUUAGACCCUUUUUCUUAUUUUUAAUAUAAAAAUACAUGUAUUUUAUGUAAGCC
This 582-nucleotide long non-coding RNA is filed under the name Brassica rapa (field mustard). RNAcentral describes it as "long non-coding RNA (BRAP_LNC005368)". The record is from RNAcentral. Lineage: Eukaryota; Viridiplantae; Streptophyta; Magnoliopsida; Brassicales; Brassicaceae.